Molecule: ribosomal RNA, 2091 nt
Filed under: human gut metagenome
Description: bacterial LSU rRNA
Rfam family: Bacterial large subunit ribosomal RNA
Source: RNAcentral
UUAAGCGACUAAGCGUACACGGUGGAUGCCCUGGCAGUCAGAGGCGAUGAAGGACGUGCUAAUCUGCGAAAAGCGUCGGUAAGGUGAUAUGAACCGUUACAGCCGGCGAUGUCCGAAUGGGGAAACCCAGUGCAAUUCGUUGCACUAUCGUUAACUGAAUACAUAGGUUAACGAGGCGAACCGGGGGAACUGAAACAUCUAAGUACCCCGAGGAAAAGAAAUCAACCGAGAUUCCCCCAGUAGCGGCGAGCGAACGGGGAGCAGCCCGGAGUCUGAAUCAGCUUGUGUGUUAGUGGAAGCGUCUGGAAAGUCGCAGGGUACAGGGUGAUACUCCCGUACACUAAAACACACAGGCUGUGAACUCGAAGAGUAGGGCGGGACACGUGGUAUCCUGUCUGAAUAUGGGGGGACCAUCCUCCAAGGCUAAAUACUCCUGACUGACCGAUAGUGAACCAGUACCGUGAGGGAAAGGCGAAAAGAACCCCGGCGAGGGGAGUGAAAAAGAACCUGAAACCGUGUACGUACAAGCAGUAGGAGCCCCACCACCAAAGCGUUUCGCUUUGCGUGGUGCGCAAAAUGCGUAACGACAGCAUGAUGGACGGUUAACGGAGCGUCAGCGACGUUCAACGUCAAAAAUCAGGCAGUGGAGCGUUUUGGGGUGGGGUGACUGCGUACCUUUUGUAUAAUGGGUCAGCGACUUAUAUUCUGUAGCAAGGUUAACCGUAUAGGGGAGCCGCAGGGAAACCGAGUCUUAACUGGGCGUUAAGUUGCAGGGUAUAGACCCGAAACCCGGUGAUCUAGCCAUGGGCAGGUUGAAGGUUGGGUAACACUAACUGGAGGACCGAACCGACUAAUGUUGAAAAAUUAGCGGAUGACUUGUGGCUGGGGGUGAAAGGCCAAUCAAACCGGGAGAUAGCUGGUUCUCCCCGAAAGCUAUUUAGGUAGCGCCUCGUGAAUUCAUCUUCGGGGGUAGAGCACUGUUUCGGCUAGGGGGUCAUCCCGACUUACCAACCCGAUGCAAACUACGAAUACCGAAGAAUGUUAUCACGGGAGACACACGGCGGGUGCUAACGUCCGUCGUGAAGAGGGAAACAACCCAGACCGCCAGCUAAGGUCCCAAAGUCAUGGUUAAGUGGGAAACGAUGUGGGAAGGCCCAGACAGCCAGGAUGUUGGCUUAGAAGCAGCCAUCAUUUAAAGAAAGCGUAAUAGCUCACUGGUCGAGUCGGCCUGCGCGGAAGAUGUAACGGGGCUAAACCAUGCACCGAAGCUGCGGCAGCGACACUAUGUGUUGUUGGGUAGGGGAGCGUUCUGUAAGCCGUUGAAGGUGGCCUGUGAGGGUUGCUGGAGGUAUCAGAAGUGCGAAUGCUGACAUAAGUAACGAUAAUGCGGGUGAAAAACCCGCACGCCGGAAGACCAAGGGUUCCUGUCCAACGUUAAUCGGGGCAGGGUGAGUCGACCCCUAAGGCGAGGCCGAAAGGCGUAGUCGAUGGGAAACAGGUUAAUAUUCCUGUACUUGGUGUUACUGCGAAGGGGGGACGGAGAAGGCUAUGUUGGCCGGGCGACGGUUGUCCCGGUUUAAGCAUGUAGGCGGAUGUUCCAGGUAAAUCCGGAGCGUCACUAACGCUGAGGUGUGAUGACGAGGCACUACGGUGCUGAAGUGACAAAUGCCCUGCUUCCAGGAAAAGCCUCUAAGCAUCAGGUAACAUCAAAUCGUACCCCAAACCGACACAGGUGGUCAGGUAGAGAAUACCAAGGCGCUUGAGAGAACUCGGGUGAAGGAACUAGGCAAAAUGGUGCCGUAACUUCGGGAGAAGGCACGCUGAUGGUAGGUGAAGUGACUUGCUCAUGGAGCUGAAAUCAGUCGAAGAUACCAGCUGGCUGCAACUGUUUAUUAAAAACACAGCACUGUGCAAACACGAAAGUGGACGUAUACGGUGUGACGCCUGCCCGGUGCCGGAAGGUUAAUUGAUGGGGUUAUCCUCGCGGAGAAGCUCUUGAUCGAAGCCCCGGUAAACGGCGGCCGUAACUAUAACGGUCCUAAGGUAGCGAAAUUCCUUGUCGGGUAAGUUCCGACCUGCACGAAUGGCGUA